UCGCGUGGCUCUUUAGUAAUAUUGUUAAAUUUGAGUUGUUACCAAUCUUGCUGCUCUUUAUCUGGUUCCUGGUGAGUUCGUGGAAGUUCAGGUCACGUAAAGAUACUCGAUGAAGUUUCUCUGCGAAGUUUUCUUUAAAACUCUAGCAGCUGGCAUCACAAAGUAAGCAUGUGAAUUGAGAGCAAAUGUACAUGAUACAGAAUAGUUCAUUUUUGCCUGCCCUCUUUGUUUUAUUUCUGGAUCUGCAAUGAACAGAUCCACAGCUUCUUGCUCACAGGCAAGUAGGCGGUGGCUGUCUCAGCGAUGCUAAUAUCUCUGUUCUAGUGAAAGACAAUGUAAGCAACUGUUUUUGCAAGCAUUACGCAAAUGCGGCUCGCCAUCAAGCACCAAACUUUUAAUGUCUAAAAAAAUAACUUGGAGAAGUAAAUGCCCAGUAUUCUUUUUUAGCUUUCAGUAAGCUUGCCAUGUAGCUCAGUGUUAACAUACAGGUUAGAUUACAGAAAGCAAUAAUAAAAGACAAUAAACACUGCUUGGAUGGCAAAAAACAUGUGAAUCAGAUCACUUUUUUUUUGGCAAUGACUUUUUGGGAAAUAGGAGGCUAAGCAAAUGGUGAUGUGGCUACACUGUAAAGACUGGAUAAGAUGGAUGACUGAAUCUGCAACAGAACAUUUGUGGACAUUGUACUACAUGCAAUGAGGCAGCAUAGGUUACUUUUCUAUGCUUUUUUGCUGACUAAGCAAGACUACAUGCAGUGAGGCAGCAUAGGUUACUUUCCUGGUGCAUCAGCAUGGGCUUUCUACAGUUGACUUCCAUUAAUUCUACCCUGAGGGCACCAACGAAAUUGAUCUACUUAUCCGGUGGGUCGAAUUGAACGUGCAAAAAAAUGCUAAAACACCGCUGAUUCAUAUGGCAGUAUGUAUUGACUUUAAGAAGCCUCCGAAACAAACGUGCGCCAACUUUCUAUUUUUCCGAACUAUAAAACUGAAGUGCAAAUGACUUAAAACUUCAAACCCAAGUAGAAACCUAACGCAUACCUUAUUUUUGAGAAUGUCAGCUGAUUUUCUAGUCACCCUUGCUGCAACACAGCCAUGUUAUGCGGUAAAGCGCACAAAUGCUGCAAAUGCGGUUUUAGUUUCGCACUCGAGUGCACAGUGCAGGCAGUUUCCGGCUCAAUUUCCUUCGAAAACAAAAUGUUCCGUUUAGAACCAGGUCAAUACCAUAAUCGGACAUUGUGAGCUACCGUUAUGGCUUGAAAAUUUUCCUAGGGUGGGUCAAAAAUAGGCGUUUAUAGAUGUUUGUUUAAUGCAUUCACUGUCCCCCAAGCUCUGCUGAGACAGACGUUGCCACUAAAAUGGGUCGUUAUUGGGGUCAGGUGCAUGCCUGUAGCUUGGUCAAGUUCGUAUUAUCAGGCGAAUGCCAAUUUUAGGAUCAAAAUAACAAAUGUUUAGGGCCGUAGAACUGCAUAGGAGCUGGCCAAGAUCUUUGGUCAGAGUCGAAGUAACUGAAAGAUUAACCGUAGUUAAAUUAACGGAAGUCUACUGUAUCCACUUUUCUGUUCAACAAGGAGUUGCCAUUUUAAUAUGUAGUUUUCUUCUGUCAGUGUGGUAAUCGUGCUAAAUUUAGCAUUUGUUUAAAUUAAAAGGACAAGUUACAAAGCAGGGGCACGCUUUGAGACUUGAAACAUUUGAACAUAUAAAGGUAGGACACAUUAACAGCUGCUGAAUUAACCUAAGUUGGUUGUAUUAUGUGCAUAGCAUGUGGUUGCUUUUUGGGAAUGUGGUCAUUCUGUAAAAUAAAACUGCAUUUGUUUCAAAUAAAUUGCUG
Dermacentor silvarum is the source of this 1824-nucleotide long non-coding RNA. RefSeq lists it as uncharacterized. Lineage: Eukaryota; Metazoa; Arthropoda; Arachnida; Ixodida; Ixodidae. The record is from RefSeq and is a predicted model, not a curated record. The transcript is spliced from 2 exons.